UAACGGCGAGUGAAGCGGCAACAGCUCAAAUUUUAAAGCUGGCGUCUUCGGCGCCCGCGUUGUAAUUUGGAGAGGCAUCUUCGGUUUGGGCGCCAGCCUAUGUUCCUUGGAACAGGACGUCACAGAGGGUGAGAAUCCCGUGCUUGGCUGGCUGUCCCUUUCCAUGUGAAGCGCCUUCGACGAGUCGAGUUGUUUGGGAAUGCAGCUCAAAAUGGGUGGUAAAUUCCAUCUAAAGCUAAAUAUUGGCGGGAGACCGAUAGCGCACAAGUAGAGUGAUCGAAAGAUGAAAAGCACUUUGAAAAUAGAGUUAAAAAGUACGUGAAAUUGUUGAAAGGGAAGCGCUUGAGACCAGACUCGGCCGGAGAUGAUCAGCCGUCCUUCUGGGCGGUGCACUUGUCUCCGGUCGGGCCAGCAUCGGUUGAGACGGCGGGAUAAAGGCCCGGGGAAUGUGGCUCCUUUCGGGGAGUGUUAUAGCCCCGGGCGCAAUGCCGCCAGCCUCGACCGAGGACCGCGCUUUUUGCUAGGAUGCUGGCGUAAUGGUCUUCAGCGACCCGUCUUGAAACACGGACCAAGGAGUCUAACAUCUAUGCGAGUGUUUGGGUGUCAAACCCUUGCGCGUAAUGAAAGUGAACGGAGGUGGGAACCCCUCGCGGGGCGCACCAUCGACCGGUCCUGAUGUCUUCGGAUGGAUCUGAGUAGGAGCAUAGCUGUUGGGACCCGAAAGAUGGUGAACUAUGCCUGAAUAGGGUGAAGCCAGAGGAAACUCUGGUGGAGGCUCGCAGCGGUUCUGACGUGCAAAUCGAUCGUCAAAUUUGGGUAUAGGGGCGAAAGACUAAUCGAACCAUCUAGUAGCUGGUUCCUGCCGAAGUUYCCYUCAGGA
This 880-nucleotide ribosomal RNA is filed under the name Paragyromitra ambigua. RNAcentral describes it as "eukaryotic LSU rRNA". It matches the Rfam family "Eukaryotic large subunit ribosomal RNA", at positions 84 to 978 of the family's 3401-position model. The record is from RNAcentral. Lineage: Eukaryota; Fungi; Ascomycota; Pezizomycetes; Pezizales; Discinaceae.